Molecule: ribosomal RNA, 426 nt
Filed under: uncultured bacterium
Lineage: Bacteria
Description: bacterial SSU rRNA
Rfam family: Bacterial small subunit ribosomal RNA
Source: RNAcentral
GACGAACGCUGGCGGCGUGGAUUAGGCAUGCAAGUCGAACGGUAUAUAUUCUUUCGGGAGUAUAGAGAGUGGCGAACGGGUGAGUAACGCGUAGGUGAUCUACCUUCAAGUGGGGGACAACCCAGGGAAACUUGGGCUAAUACCGCAUGUGUCCUUAAGGAUAAAGCCGGCCUCUGUAUAUGCUGGUGCUUGGAGCUGAGCCUGCGUCUGAUUAGCUAGUUGGUGGGGUAACGGCCUACCGAGGCGAUGAUAAGUAGGCGGCUUUAACGAGUGGUCGCCCACACUGGGAUUGAGAUACGGCCCAGACUCCUACGGGAGGCAGCAGUCGAGGAUAGUCUACAAUGGUCGAGAGAUUGAUAGUGCGACGCCGCGUGAACGAAGAAGCAUUUCGGUGUGUAAAGUUCUUUUCUACUGGAGCAGUGCUUU